CGCAGGGCGGGUGCUAUACAUGCAGUCGAGCGAAGAGAUGGGAGCUUGCUCCCUGAUCUUAGCGGCGGACGGGUGAGUAACACGUGGGCAACCUGCCCUGCAGACUGGGAUAACUCCGGGAAACCGGAGCUAAUACCGGGUAAUACAUCGCACCGCAUGGUGCAAUGUUGAAAGUUGGCUUUCUGAGCUAACACUGCAGGAUGGGCCCGCGGCGCAUUAGCUAGUUGGUAAGGUAAUGGCUUACCAAGGCGACGAUGCGUAGCCGACCUGAGAGGGUGAUCGGCCACACUGGGACUGAGACACGGCCCAGACUCCUACGGGAGGCAGCAGUAGGGAAUCUUCCGCAAUGGACGAAAGUCUGACGGAGCAACGCCGCGUGAGUGACGAAGGCCUUCGGGUCGUAAAGCUCUGUUGUUAGGGAAGAACAAGUACCGUUCGAAUAGGGCGGUACCUUGACGGUACCUAACCAGAAAGCCACGGCUAACUACGUGCCAGCAGCCGCGGUAAUACGUAGGUGGCAAGCGUUGUCCGGAAUUAUUGGGCGUAAAGCGCGCGCAGGCGGUCUUUUAAGUCUGAUGUGAAAGCCCACGGCUCAACCGUGGAGGGUCAUUGGAAACUGGAGGACUUGAGUGCAGAAGAGGAGAGUGGAAUUCCACGUGUAGCGGUGAAAUGCGUAGAUAUGUGGAGGAACACCAGUGGCGAAGGCGGCUCUCUGGUCUGUAACUGACGCUGAGGCGCGAAAGCGUGGGGAGCAAACAGGAUUAGAUACCCUGGUAGUCCACGCCGUAAACGAUGAGUGCUAGGUGUUGGGGGGUUCCACCCUCAGUGCUGAAGUUAACACAUUAAGCACUCCGCCUGGGGAGUACGACCGCAAGGUUGAAACUCAAAGGAAUUGACGGGGGCCCGCACAAGCAGUGGAGCAUGUGGUUUAAUUCGAAGCAACGCGAAGAACCUUACCAGGUCUUGACAUCCUCUGACAUCCUGGAGACAGGACGUUCCCCUUCGGGGGACAGAGUGACAGGUGGUGCAUGGUUGUCGUCAGCUCGUGUCGUGAGAUGUUGGGUAGUCCCGCACGAGCGCAACCCUUGAUCUUAGUUGCCAGCAUUAGUUGGGC
This 1114-nucleotide ribosomal RNA is filed under the name Bacillus sp. C-28. RNAcentral describes it as "bacterial SSU rRNA". It matches the Rfam family "Bacterial small subunit ribosomal RNA", at positions 34 to 1136 of the family's 1533-position model. Lineage: Bacteria; Bacillati; Bacillota; Bacilli; Caryophanales; Bacillaceae. The record is from RNAcentral.